AUUGAACGCUGGCGGCACGCCUAACACAUGCAAGUCGAGCGGUAGCAUGAGUAGUAGCAAUACUACUUGAUGACGAGCGGCGGACGGGUGAGGAACACGUAGGAACUUGCCUUUUAGAGGGGGAUAACUAAGGGAAACUUUAGCUAAUACCGCGUAAUCUCGAGAGAGUAAAGCUGCCCGCAAGGGUGGCGCUAAAAGAGAGGCCUGCGUCCGAUUAGCUAGUUGGUGAGGUAAUGGCUCACCAAGGCGAUGAUCGGUAACUGGUCUGAGAGGACGACCAGUCACACUGGGACUGAGACACGGCCCAGACUCCUACGGGAGGCAGCAGUGGGGAAUAUUGGACAAUGGGGGCAACCCUGAUCCAGCGAUGCCGCGUGAGUGAAGAAGGCCCUCGGGUCGUAAAGCUCUUUAGGUUGGGAAGAAGGACGUUAGGUUAAUACCCUGAUGUUUUGACGGUACCGACAGAAUAAGCACCGGCAAACUCUGUGCCAGCAGCCGCCGUAA
RNAcentral lists this ribosomal RNA (504 nucleotides) under uncultured bacterium. RNAcentral's name for it is "partial 16S ribosomal RNA". It matches the Rfam family "Bacterial small subunit ribosomal RNA", at positions 30 to 523 of the family's 1533-position model. The record is from RNAcentral.